Molecule: non-coding RNA, 1398 nt
Organism: Macaca mulatta (Rhesus monkey)
Lineage: Eukaryota; Metazoa; Chordata; Mammalia; Primates; Cercopithecidae
Source: RefSeq, a predicted model, not a curated record
CCCCCGCCCGCCCGAGCCUCGGCCGCGGGCCUCCCUCCUCCGUUAUCCCGCUCGCCCGCGCAACUCACACAACCCUCCUCAUUCGACCUACCCCCGUUGGGCACGUCUCGCAGGCAGGCUUGCGUUGGGGCCGUUUACUUCCCUUCGACUAGACAACCAGGCCCCGCGGGGCUGGGGCUGCGGGCUCUCCUCCCCACCCGGCACACGCGGGCACAGCGCGGUUACCCGGGUUACUCAAAAGGAAGAGGCCGCUUGAACUGAGAAAAGCACAACGUGUGAAUGCGGUGGCUUCUGGGGAGAAGGGGCCAUUGUAUUGUAACUGUGAAUCUGCAGCAGUAAUCUUUCUGGCUUUGUCCUAGCUUUUGGCCAACUGGGUGCUUAAUACAUGCAUGUCGAAUGAACAAAUAAAAAGAAGUCUUCACAGCUGUUUGAUCCCCGUAUCCUUAUGUCUCUAAGGUACGGGUGCUGUGAUGAUUAAUUUCCAGCCUCGAGUAUAAAAUAUCUACUGAACAAUGAAUGUCCACUCCAUGAGAAACACAGAGGCAUGGUGAGUACCACAAUCAUGAAGACAACACGGCCUUAUCUUUCUAAAGCUUCCAAGCUAGACAGAUAUGGACACGACUAAAAUACAAGGCACAGUGAGUUGUGCCAUGAGGGAAAUGCAUGUGGCUGUAUAAUGCACAAAGUACAGUUAUGAGAAGGUUCUUUAGGAUCCUAAAAUCUUCACAAAGGAAACAUGUAAAAUUUGCAUAUAAAAGCCAGCAAAUACACAUAAAUGUUCAUUGAGCUAUCAGGGAAGCAGCUUAUUAAGUUUUGACAUCAAGUAAAGGGUGACUACCAACUAAGCCUUCUUCAGUGUUCUCAUUCCUGAGUUUUUGUUUUUUAAACUAUGUUGGUGUGUGGAGAAAAGUGAAUAUACUUUAGAAUCAUAUACACUUGGUUUGAAUUCAGGUACUACCAUUUUACUAGCUGUGUGAACAUGGUCAAAUCAUUUAACCCCAGCACCUCUCAUUAAAUGUAAAAGUAGGGUGAUACCACCUACUCUGUAAAAGCGUCUGGGACAAAUUUGAUAGUGAGCAAACUAGCAGUGCACUGGUCCACAGUAGGUGUUGUUAGCUAGCUUCCUUCUUGCCUCUUCUCAUUUGACCUGGGAUUGGAUGAGGAGAACUCAAACAUUUAACUGAACUAUUUAUUCCUUUGUCUCUAAGCAUGGCUUUUCCCCACUAAAAAAGCAUUGAUUGUCCAUAACUUGAUCAUCUCCUGCACUGUGUCCUGCAGUGCCUCCAGGCUGUCCCCGUUCUACUUUCCUAACUCUCCUUUCCUAAAUGUAUCUCCUCACUAUUAUCCAAUAAAAAUGAAACACUCAUACUUGUGUUUCUCUGAAUGUUUUGAACUUUC